ACUGGACAGACAUCACCUCUGGCCAGCACAUGCAGAAGAGACAGGUCGUAACCCCCAGCCGGCAGGUGCAGAAGGGACAGGUCAUAAUCCUUGUCUGGCAGGUACAGAAAGGACAGGUCAUAAUCCCUGGCUGGCAGGUGCAGAAGGGACAGGCGUCACCCCCACCAGCAGGUGCAGAGGUGCCGUUGCAGCAGUUGGAUGUGAGGCCAAGAAGCAGAAGCUAAGGGAGGGGGUCUGGGGCAUCCCUGGAGCUCAGAAGCCAAGGCCCGUGCCUGCCCCAGGGCUGGUGCCAUACAUAGUUCCAGGUACUGGGGACGGAGGGUAGCCGAUGGGGCCCUGAGCAGGACGUGCCUCUUCUGGACUUGACCACAGAACCCAAGCAUGGUUCAAGCGAUUCUCCUGCUUCAGCCUCCUGAGUAGUUGGGAUUACAGAUGCCCGCCACCGCACCCAGUCACAGAUGGACUCUGAGAGAGAAAAUAGCACCCCUGUCCAAACAUCACAUGCCUGGCGGAGGAACGCAGCCUGGCCUGUGCAGCCGAAUGUUGGAGAGUGCACCUUCCUCUCUUAUUUUGUUUUAUUUCCAGGGAAAGGGAAAGGAAGACAUGCAGUCUCAUUGAAGUCCUUGGGUCACUUUACCCCUGCCCUUGGGUUGAUGGACGAUCAGAUGUCUUCCUUCUCAUGCUGGCUGAGACAUCAAACACCAGAGUGGACUUACUUGGCUCCAGUGCUGGUGAUGGGCACUUCUGGGUGAAUGGAAUCUGGGGUGUACUAGCAAAUUUGCUGGUUCUUAGUGCAGGAUCAUUUGAAAAUUUAUUAUUCUGCCAAAUUGAUCAAAUCACUUUGAACAAUUUAUGCAUGUACUUCAUUACACAAUAGUUUCCAUUUCUGCACAUUCUAACACCUAUUAAUUUUUGCAAAUACUAUAGCCAUAAUAUAACAUCACAUUGUUAUUUUUGAUUUAUGUUUAACUGAAUUCAGGUAAUUUUGUACUGGUGUUCAGAAGAUUGACUUUAGGUUUUCUUACUUGCAAAUUACCUUUUCAUGUGUGUUGCCCAUGUUUUAAUGGGUUGACCUUUUUUAUUGAUGUUACUAUGGACUGAACUGCAUCCCUGCGAGAUUCAUAUGUUAAAGCUCGAGCUCCCAGUACCUCACAAUGGGACUGUAUUUGGAGAUAGGGCCUUUAAACAGGUAACUAAGUGAAAAUGAGGUCAUAAGGGUGGGCCCUGGUCCAAUGUGGUUGGUGUCCUUAUAAGAAGAGGAAAUGAGGACACAGACACACACACAGGAAUGACUGCAUGAGACACAGGAAGAGGCCCCAUCUACAAGCCAAGGAGAGCCUCAGGAGGGUCCAGGAAUGACUAAAUUGUCAUCUCAGACUUGUAGCUUCCAGCACUGUGAGAAAAUAAGUUUCUGUUUUUCCAUUAAAAAUUCUGAUUAUUAUUGUUGAAAAUGAGCACAAUGGCUUUUUAAAAAAAAAAUGUUGGUAUUCUAUCUGACCAUCUGAGUGAAAGCUCUUAUUAGUGUUAGAGUUUUUUUCAGAUUUCUUUGAAUUUUCUGUAUAAAAAUAUUGUCAGUAAUACAAAAUAUAUUAUCUUUUCCCAUACAGUUCUGAAUUCUCUGUUAUUUUUUAUCUUAAUGUGGCUAAUAGAAAAUAAAGUGCAAUGCUUUACAAGUGAGGGGACACCUUCCUCCUUGUCUGAUUACUAAGCUUAGUAGAAUGUUAGCAUGAUGUUUGUUUCAAAAAUUUAGAAGAUAAUCUUUAUCUAAUUAGUGUUUCUGAAAUGUAAUGUUUUUCUCACUUUAAAUUUUCUAGUACUAUCUAUUACAUAGGUAUGAGUAUUGUAUAUUAAACUGAUCUUAUGUUACAUUAAAAAAAUCAUACAAUAUUUUCAAUAAUUUGCUGGCUUUGAUUAUCUAAAAUGAUUGUCUCUCAAUUCAGGUUUUCUAGUUCCUCCAUAAUGGUUUCUCCAGUAUCACAUUCUGAAUGAAAACAUAUCUAGUGGUUUCCCAUUAAAUAUGAUGCUGGCUUUAGGAGAAAUAUAAUUAUGUUAAACAUAUUUGCAUAUAUUACAUUACAUAUAUUUAUGUAUUUAUAUUUACUAUAUAUAGUUUUACAUAUUUAUAGAUAACUAUAGAACUAUA
This 2143-nucleotide long non-coding RNA is filed under the name Homo sapiens (human). Its description in RNAcentral is "HSALNT0299812". The record is from RNAcentral. Lineage: Eukaryota; Metazoa; Chordata; Mammalia; Primates; Hominidae.